UGAGAUUAUAGCUCAGUUGGAUUAGAGCGUCAGAUUGCGGAUCUGAAGGUCGGCGGUUCGAGCCCGCCUAGUCUCAUGCU
RNAcentral lists this transfer RNA (80 nucleotides) under Treponema vincentii ATCC 35580. RNAcentral's name for it is "tRNA-Arg". It matches the Rfam family "tRNA". From Rfam's summary of the family: Transfer RNA (tRNA) molecules are approximately 80 nucleotides in length. Their secondary structure includes four short double-helical elements and three loops (D, anti-codon, and T loops). The record is from RNAcentral. Lineage: Bacteria; Pseudomonadati; Spirochaetota; Spirochaetia; Treponematales; Treponemataceae.